AAAAGGCUUAUCAAAGUUGGGGUACUCACUUUGUUGAAUAUGGGUUUUCAUUUUUUAGAUUAGGGAUUAGGGAAUUGAGGAGGAAGGGUUAUGAGUUUGGAGCAGCCAACCUUCAAGAUGGGGAUGUCCAAACGGUGAGCUCUGGUGGAGGAGGGCGUCGGCGCUGCCGUCCAAUGCCGAAGCGAAAGGCGCUGCUCCGGGAGUCUCCGUCCAUGGUGGUCAUCACGUCCUAUCGCGGAGGAGCCUCAAUGGCAGUCCCAACUUCUUUUCUCUAGUCAUCACGCUGGUGGCCUCCUGCACCUCACCAACCUCUCACUGUAUCCCUCAAAUAUAGGUAUGAAUUUGACAUCCUUCUUCUUCUUCGUGAGACCGAAUAGGUCACGCAUGUGUCUGCGGUGAAGCUUACAGCUUCCAAUGAUGUCGAUUUUGGAGGAUACAUAUGGCUUUCCCUUAUUCAUUCUGGUUCGGGUCAGUCGUUUUCGUUUGGCUGUGAUGGGUUUUGACGCAAAGGAAAUCGGGUUGGAAAAAGCCUCGUAGUGUCCCGUUAUGAGGUUAGCUGAGAUUGUUUUUGUUUUUAUUUGCUGAGUAUAUGAAUACCAAACUGGUCGUGUGUUGUCUUUGGUUCACUCAUUCAUUUUAUGAAAGCACAUUGUAGGUUAUGAUCCUGGGGAUAUCAGUUUAUGAAUACGUUUUUUAUUUUUUGAUUUUUUAGUUCUAGCAUGCAUAAGUUGUUUAUGAUAUGAGUAUCUAUGUUAUAAAUAGCAAAACAUGCUUAUGGAUGUGAUUUUAUUGAAUCUUUCUUAACAAUUGGAAUGAUGUUAUAUGAGGAUUCUUACGGAUGCAGUAACAAGUACUAACCAGGAUUUCCAGAUACUGCUAUUGCUUGCCUUAUACUUGCCCAUCUCCUACACACCAAUGUUGUGCACCCGGUUGAGAGCUGAAGAAUCCCCUGGUCCCUUUCUGGAUAUAUAUAUUUUUUGUUUUUUGUAUGUAUCAAUACUGAUCGUGUGCUACUUACU
RNAcentral lists this long non-coding RNA (1019 nucleotides) under Lupinus angustifolius (narrow-leaved blue lupine). RNAcentral's name for it is "long non-coding RNA (LANG_LNC001953)". Lineage: Eukaryota; Viridiplantae; Streptophyta; Magnoliopsida; Fabales; Fabaceae. The record is from RNAcentral.